GCAAACUUGGUCAUUUAGAGGAAGUAAAAGUCGUAACAAGGUUUCCGUAGGUGAACCUGCGGAAGGAUCAUUACAAAUCCUUAACACUCACUCACUACAUGUUGAACCACAUAUACGCGCAAGGAGGAGAGGAGGAGAUGUGUGAGAUAUGUGUCUGCCACUGCCGCCACGUCUCUGUGUCGGUCGGUGGUGUCUGUCACCGCUACUACCACAUCCCCUCCUCACCACACCUGCACUUACUACUAUACCACUAGUUGAUCAGUUGUAUAUAGUGUUUUCUAACACAGAAACAACUCAUAACAAUGGAUCUCUAGGCUCUUGCAUCGAUGAAGAACGCAGC
This 340-nucleotide unclassified non-coding RNA is filed under the name uncultured fungus. RNAcentral's name for it is "partial contains small subunit ribosomal RNA, internal transcribed spacer 1, and 5.8S ribosomal RNA". The stretch from base 1 to 73 matches the Rfam family "Eukaryotic small subunit ribosomal RNA", at positions 1759 to 1831 of the family's 1831-position model. The record is from RNAcentral. Lineage: Eukaryota; Fungi.